GCUCAGUUGGUAGAGCGGAGGACUGUAGU
This 29-nucleotide non-coding RNA is filed under the name Cricetulus griseus (Chinese hamster). The record is from RNAcentral. Lineage: Eukaryota; Metazoa; Chordata; Mammalia; Rodentia; Cricetidae.